UAGAGUAUACUGUCACAUGUAAUGACAUGUAGUUAUUUAAAUUAAAGCUUAAUAAAAUUAAAAAUUCAGUUCCACAUUUCAAGUGCUCAGUAGGCAUUUGUGGCUACUAACCACUGUACUGAAUAGCACAGAUAGUCUUUCCACUCAUGUCCUAUUGGACUGAGUGGAUUUAAAGGUACUAUUAAAGAAAAAAAAAACUUUUAGGAUGAAACUGGUUUGGCUCAGUGGAUAGAGCAUCGGCCUGC
Long non-coding RNA from Pipistrellus kuhlii (Kuhl's pipistrelle), 245 nucleotides. RefSeq lists it as uncharacterized. The record is from RefSeq and is a predicted model, not a curated record. The transcript is spliced from 3 exons. Lineage: Eukaryota; Metazoa; Chordata; Mammalia; Chiroptera; Vespertilionidae.